AAGAACACAGACCAAAAUCAGGCAUCGCGAUGAGGUAACUGCGCCAUCAAAAUCGGAGACCUCCCCCUCCCACUCCCCCAUAUCAACACAGUCCCCUUCCUCGUCUCGUAGGAUCCCUACCUUGAGGAGAUCGAUCAUGGCCUUCCCUCCCUCCUGAACCUCGUAGCUCACCCCGCUGAUUCAUUGAGGUCAAGGGCACAAGAGGCAUGUCUUGUUCACCAACUAGGACGGAAAGCAGAUCAGUCCCCACCCCUGAUUCAUAGACACACAAGUGCACACCAAGUGUUUGAUAGCUGUCCUCUGUUAAUGGUUUAGAAUUUUGGGGGCCUUCAGAUAAAGGGGGUUGUUUCUGAUUCUUCUUCUAUAAGGUUUACUGAACAUAAGAGGUGGCUUAAAUCUAGUAACUGUUAAGGUUUCAAGUGUGGACGCAUCCAAUAUUUCAAUGUAGUUCUGCACCAUUACUAGACAUUGGUGACUUCAAUCUCUUCAUAGACUUUCUUUAUGGUACUCCAAUUCGGACUAUCCUAUUCUAGUUGGGUAGUACAGUUGGUAUAUUCUGGCUGGGGUGUCAUUUGUAGAAAAUGAACGAUGGAGUGACUAGAAGAAGUGUUAUCUUGGUUGUACCUAUGGACAAAUUGCACAGAUAUGUAAUGGACAAGAAUUUCAGUGCACGACAAAGGGAAAUAUAUUCUGCUACACAUAAGGCAGGAACUAAAGUAUUCUUGAAGAGCCCGAAAAAUCAUAACAAGGGUGUAGCUCUAGAUACAAUGAUUCAAAAGAUAAAUGGAUGAGUAUGUGGGAGCAUGGCGAUUAUACUGCAACGAUGUUGUCAAUGAUCCGUUUCAUGAUGAUUAUGAUGACAUAUGCAUUUAGUUUUAGUUAUGUUGUAGGGAUGACAUUCCUAUCGGAUGUUGUUCCUCAGUUAAGAUCGAUAUUUUUAGUUUAAGUUUUGUUGUCAAGAAAAUUGUUAGAUUAUGCAUCACAUUUGGAUGAUGUUCCUCCUAUAAUAUCCACUAUUGUAAUCCAACAGUUUUGAUCUGAUAUAUUAUGAUUUAUUCCU
This is a long non-coding RNA of Triticum aestivum (bread wheat), 1060 nucleotides long. RefSeq lists it as uncharacterized. Lineage: Eukaryota; Viridiplantae; Streptophyta; Magnoliopsida; Poales; Poaceae. The transcript has 7 exons. The record is from RefSeq and is a predicted model, not a curated record.